GACGAACCGUGCGAACGUUAUUCGGAAUUACUGGGCUUAAAGCGCGUGUAGGCGGGCCGGCACGUCGAUCGCUGAAAUCCCCCGGCUCAACCGGGGAACUGGCGCCGAUACGACCGGCCUGGAGGGGCGUAGGGGGGACUGGAACUUCCGGUGGAGCGGUGAAAUGCGUUGAGAUCGGAAGGAACGCCCGUGGCGAAAGCGAGUCCCUGGACGCCUGCUGACGCUGAGACGCGAAAGCCAGGGGAGCGAACGGG
Molecule: ribosomal RNA, 254 nt
Filed under: uncultured prokaryote
Description: partial 16S ribosomal RNA
Rfam family: Bacterial small subunit ribosomal RNA
Source: RNAcentral